Molecule: ribosomal RNA, 1416 nt
Filed under: Triticum aestivum (bread wheat)
Lineage: Eukaryota; Viridiplantae; Streptophyta; Magnoliopsida; Poales; Poaceae
Description: partial small subunit ribosomal RNA
Source: RNAcentral
AUGUCUAGUCUCAAUCUCAGUGUUCUUAACUGGAAUGUACGUGGGUUGAAUUGUCCCAAUAGAAGAGUUGCUGUCAACACCACUAUUGCUGCUUCUGCGUGUCAACUCGCCUGAUUACAAGAAUAUAAGCUCGAAAAUGUCGAUGCUUCCACUGCUGCUUUCCUUGGUGGUUACAGAUUGAAGGGCUUUGCCCAGCGCCCUGCUUUGGGCACGCGCGGAGGGAUUCUGAUGCUGUGGGAUGAUGAGCAUGUCUGCGUCGAAAAUGUGCACUACGGUGACUACACCCUCUCGGCUAGGAUCACAAUUAUUGCCACUAAUACUUCCUUCAAGCUAACCACUGUCUAUGGUCCAACUAGAGACAAUCUGAAAGAUGUUUUUUUUUCAGAGAUGAAGGAUGCAAAGCCGCACUUGGGGGAAAGGUGGCUCAUCACAUGUGACUUCAACCAGAUUGAUCGGGCUAGAGACAAGAACCGCUCCAAUGCUAACCGUAGCCGCAUCACGCGUUUCUGGAAUGCUCUCAAUUUCUGCGAGCUAAAAGAAAUCCACCUGCAGAAUAGAAGGUUUACUUGAAGCAACGAACAGAACAACCCGACCAUGUCCAAGCUUGAUGGUUUCUUUUGCAAUGAGGAUUGGGAUAUCACGUUUGAUAAGCACAUCCUCCAUGCCUUAUCCUCUUCUCUCUCCGACCAUUUCCCCCUUCUCCUGGCAAAUGAUGACGGGCCUCGGCGACCUCGGACUUUCUGCUUCGAGAACUUUUGGACCAAUAUGCCAGGCUUUUCCCAGGUUGUCCAUGAUGCUUGGAAUGAGCCCUCUCCGCACCAUGAUCCUUACUGAAGGUUGUUCCAGAAACUGAAAUGGACUGGUCAAAAGCUUCGUUCUUGGAGUAAAACCCUCUUCUCCAAUGCCAAGAUUCAGCUACAUAUGGCCUUGGAGAUCAUCCUUCGCCUCGAUGAGGCACAGGACGUGCGGAUGCUUAGCCCCGAAGAAGCGGAUAUCCGGAAAAGGCUAAAGAAAAGAGUGGUGGGCCUUGCGGUCAUGGAAAGAGCCAGAAAGAGACAAAGCUCCAGAAUCACCAACAUCAAAGAGGGAGAUGCGAAUACAAAAACUUUUCACCUUAGGGUAAAUGGUCGGCGGAGGAAAAAUCUUAUACACCGCCUCAAGCAAGGCAAUGGCUGGGUGACGGAUCAUGAUCACAAAAAAAAUAUCAUCCACUCUCCUUUCACGGAGGUUAUGAAAAGGGGUACCCUGCGUACAAAGACCAUCAAUUGGGCUGCCAUCCCCCGUGCUGACCAUGACCUCACAGCGCUUGGUGAUGCUAUUACGGAGGAUGAAGUCAAGGCUGCGGUCUUCGCCCUUCCUAGUGACAAAGCCCCGGGGUCGGAUGGAUUCACUGAAAAAAUCUUCAAGACCUGCUAG